GGAACACGGGCCAGUGAUCCUGCGGGGGGGUCAUUA
This 36-nucleotide ribosomal RNA is filed under the name Alternaria sp. Utah 2. Its description in RNAcentral is "partial 18S ribosomal RNA". The record is from RNAcentral. Lineage: Eukaryota; Fungi; Ascomycota; Dothideomycetes; Pleosporales; Pleosporaceae.